GGUACAGUUCUAGGCCUUGAGGUUUUUUUGGAGUGCUACAGAGUGGAUUAACAUGGCCCCUGUUCAAGGAUGACAUGCAAAAUCAAGAAACGUUCCACAUUUUU
This is a small nuclear RNA of Nilaparvata lugens (brown planthopper), 104 nucleotides long. The record is from RefSeq and is a predicted model, not a curated record. Lineage: Eukaryota; Metazoa; Arthropoda; Insecta; Hemiptera; Delphacidae.